CAAACUCAAAUUUGUAUGGAGUUAGAACAGGUUCCCUUCGUUUGCCGCUAGGGGCGCUGUUCCAACUCCAUACAAAUUUCAGUUA
Bombyx mori (domestic silkworm) is the source of this 85-nucleotide non-coding RNA. The record is from Rfam. Lineage: Eukaryota; Metazoa; Arthropoda; Insecta; Lepidoptera; Bombycidae.